Molecule: ribosomal RNA, 497 nt
Filed under: uncultured bacterium
Lineage: Bacteria
Description: partial 16S ribosomal RNA
Rfam family: Bacterial small subunit ribosomal RNA
Source: RNAcentral
GAUGAACGCUGGCGGCGUGCCUAAUACAUGCAAGUCGAGCGAACGGACGAGAAGCUUGCUUCUCUGAUGUUAGCGGCGGACGGGUGAGUAACACGUGGAUAACCUACCUAUAAGACUGGGAUAACUUCGGGAAACCGGAGCUAAUACCGGAUAAUAUUUUGAACCGCAUGGUUCAAAAGUGAAAGACGGUCUUGCUGUCACUUAUAGAUGGAUCCGCGCUGCAUUAGCUAGUUGGUAAGGUAACGGCUUACCAAGGCAACGAUGCAUAGCCGACCUGAGAGGGUGGUCGGCCACACUGGAACUGGGACACGGUCCAGACUCCUACGGGAGGCAGCAGUAGGGAAUCUUCCGCAAUGGGCGACAGCCUGACGGAACAACGCCGCGUGAGUGGUGAAGGUCUUCGGAUCGUAAAACUCUGUUAUUAGGGAAGAACAUAUGUGUAAGUAACUGUGCACAUCUUGGCGGUACCUAAUCAGAAAGCCACGGCUAACUACGUG